This 760-nucleotide ribosomal RNA is filed under the name uncultured Inocybe. Its description in RNAcentral is "partial 28S ribosomal RNA". It matches the Rfam family "Eukaryotic large subunit ribosomal RNA", at positions 216 to 962 of the family's 3401-position model. The record is from RNAcentral. Lineage: Eukaryota; Fungi; Basidiomycota; Agaricomycetes; Agaricales; Cortinariaceae.
GAAUCCCGUCUUUGACACGGACUGCCUGUACAUUAUGGUGUGCUCUCGAAGAGUCGAGUUGUUUGGGAAUGCAGCUCAAAAUGGGUGGUAAAUGCCAUCUAAAGCUAAAUAUUGGCGAGAGACCGAUAGCGAACAAGUACCGUGAGGGAAAGAUGAAAAGAACUUUGGAAAGAGAGUUAAACAGUACGUGAAAUUGCUGAAAGGGAAACGCUUGAAGUCAGUCGCGUUGGCUAGAAAUCAACCUUGCUUUUGCUUUGUGUACUUUCUGGUUGACGGGUCAGCAUCAAUUUUGACCACUGGAUAAAGUCUUUGGGAAUGUGGCAUCUUCGGAUGUGUUAUAGCCCAUUGUCGCAUACGGUGGUUGGGAUUGAGGAACUCAGCACGCCGCAAGGCCGGGUUUCGACCACGUUCGUGCUUAGGAUGCUGGCAUAAUGGCUUUAAUCGACCCGUCUUGAAACACGGACCAAGGAGUCUAACAUGCCUGCGAGUGUUUGGGUGGAAAAACCCAUGCGCGCAAUGAAAGUGAAAGUUGAGAUCCUCUUCAAAGGGGGAGCAUUGACGCCCGGACCAGACCUUUUGUGACGGAUCCGCGGUAGAGCAUGCAUGUUGGGACCCGAAAGAUGGUGAACUAUGCCUGAAUAGGGUGAAGCCAGAGGAAACUCUGGUGGAGGCUCGUAGCGAUUCUGACGUGCAAAUCGAUCGUCAAAUUUGGGUAUAGGGGCGAAAGACUAAUCGAACCAUCUAGUUGCUGGUUCCUGCC